UUUAUUCCCAGUUGCAGAUGUGACAGAUGAUGGACAGAUGGACCAGGCUGUGCAGUGAGUCAUGCAGGAAUGAGAUAGCUUUGUGCUCUUUGCCUUAAGACUUACUCCACCCUGCCCUUCUGUAGCAGUGGUGUCAUUUCUACCAGAGCACACUCAUAUGAGAAACAGAAGACUGAGAGGAGCAGCCAGGAUACAGCCAAAUCCUAUCAAACUUUUUACUCACUGAAGAAACUGAAGAAGAAACACUUUCUAGAGGGAUGACAGACCAGGCCUGAAGUUGUUGAUGACCCAAAUUAUAUUUUUAAGACUGCUGUAAAGUUAA
RNAcentral lists this long non-coding RNA (322 nucleotides) under Gallus gallus (chicken). RNAcentral's name for it is "lncRNA (ENSGALG00010011787.1)". Lineage: Eukaryota; Metazoa; Chordata; Aves; Galliformes; Phasianidae. The record is from RNAcentral.